CCUACGGGAGGCUGCAGUGGGGAAUUGUUCGCAAUGGGCGCAAGCCUGACGACGCAACGCCGCGUGGAGGAUGAAGGUCUUCGGAUUGUAAACUCCUGUUGCCCGGGACGAAUGGCGCUGACCUAACACGUCGGCGUGUGACGGUACCGGGUGAGGAAGCCACGGCUAACUCUGUGCCAGCAGCCGCGGUAAUACAGAGGUGGCAAGCGUUGUUCGGAAUUACUGGGCGUAAAGGGCGCGUAGGCGGCCGCCUAAGUCAGACGUGAAAUCCCCCGGCUUAACCGGGGAACUGCGUCUGAUACUGGGGGGCUUGAGUUCGGGAGAGGAAUGUGGAAUUCCAGGUGUAGCGGUGAAAUGCGUAGAUAUCUGGAGGAACACCGGUGGCGAAGGCGGCAUUCUGGACCGAAACUGACGCUGAGGCGCGAAAGCCAGGGGAGCAA
This 440-nucleotide ribosomal RNA is filed under the name uncultured bacterium. RNAcentral describes it as "bacterial SSU rRNA". It matches the Rfam family "Bacterial small subunit ribosomal RNA", at positions 338 to 771 of the family's 1533-position model. The record is from RNAcentral.